GACGAACGCUGGCGGCGUGCCUAAUACAUGCAAGUCGAACGAAGCUGUUUUAACUGGUGCUUGCACCGACUUAAACAACUGAGUGGCGAACGGGUGAGUAACACGUGGGUAACCUGCCCCAAAGCGGGGGAUAACAUUUGGAAACAGAUGCUAAUACCGCAUAAUCACAGAAACCACAUGGUUUCUGUGUCAAAGAUGGUUUCGGCUAUCACUUUGGGAUGGACCCGCGGCGUAUUAGCUAGUUGGUAAGGUAAUGGCUUACCAAGGCAAUGAUACGUAGCCGAACUGGGAGGUUGAUCGGCCACAUUGGGACUGAGACACGGCCCAAACUCCUACGGGAGGCAGCAGUAGGGAAUCUUCCACAAUGGACGAAAGUCUGAUGGAGCAACGCCGCGUGAGUGAAGAAGGUUUUCGGAUCGUAAAACUCUGUUGGUAAAGAAGAACAAGGGUGAGAGUAAAAAGUUCACUCCUUGACGGUAUUUACCCAGAAAGCCACGGCUAACUACGUGCCAGCAGCCGCGGUAA
RNAcentral lists this ribosomal RNA (525 nucleotides) under uncultured bacterium. RNAcentral's name for it is "partial 16S ribosomal RNA". It matches the Rfam family "Bacterial small subunit ribosomal RNA", at positions 28 to 523 of the family's 1533-position model. The record is from RNAcentral.